This 253-nucleotide ribosomal RNA is filed under the name uncultured bacterium. RNAcentral describes it as "partial 16S ribosomal RNA". It matches the Rfam family "Bacterial small subunit ribosomal RNA", at positions 524 to 776 of the family's 1533-position model. The record is from RNAcentral.
UACAGGGGGUGCAAACGUUGCUCGGAAUCACUGGGCGUAAAGGGUGCGUAGGCGGGUCUUUAAGUCAGGGGGGAAAUCCUGGAGCUCAACUCCAGAACUGCCUUUGAUACUGAGGAUCUUGAGUUCGGGAGAGGUGAGUGGAACUGCGAGUGUAGAGGUGAAAUUCGUAGAUAUUCGCAAGAACACCAGUGGCGAAGGCGGCUCACUGGCCCGAUACUGACGCUGAGGCACGAAAGCGUGGGGAGCAAACAGG